This 854-nucleotide ribosomal RNA is filed under the name Phyllosticta capitalensis. RNAcentral describes it as "SSU rRNA". It matches the Rfam family "Eukaryotic small subunit ribosomal RNA", at positions 52 to 918 of the family's 1831-position model. Lineage: Eukaryota; Fungi; Ascomycota; Dothideomycetes; Botryosphaeriales; Phyllostictaceae. The record is from RNAcentral.
AGCGCGCGUUAGUUAGCAAUUAUACCGUGAAACUGCGAAUGGCUCAUUAAAUCAGUUAUCGUUUAUUUGAUAAUACCUUACUACUUGGAUAACCGUGGUAAUUCUAGAGCUAAUACAUGCUGAAAAUCCCGACUUCGGAAGGGAUGUGUUUAUUAGAUAAAAAACCAAUGCCCUUCGGGGCUUUUUGGUGAUUCAUGAUAACUUUACGGAUCGCAUAGCCUUGCGCUGGCGACGGUUCAUUCAAAUUUCUGCCCUAUCAACUUUCGAUGGUAAGGUAUUGGCUUACCAUGGUUUCAACGGGUAACGGGGAAUUAGGGUUCGAUUCCGGAGAGGGAGCCUGAGAAACGGCUACCACAUCCAAGGAAGGCAGCAGGCGCGCAAAUUACCCAAUCCCGACACGGGGAGGUAGUGACAAUAAAUACUGAUACAGGGCUCUUUUGGGUCUUGUAAUUGGAAUGAGUACAAUUUAAACCUCUUAACGAGGAACAAUUGGAGGGCAAGUCUGGUGCCAGCAGCCGCGGUAAUUCCAGCUCCAAUAGCGUAUAUUAAAGUUGUUGCAGUUAAAAAGCUCGUAGUUGAAACUUGGGCCUGGCUGGCGGGUCCGCCUCACCGCGUGCACUCGUCCGGCCGGGCCUUCCUUCUGAAGAACCUCAUGCCCUUCACUGGGCGUGCUGGGGAAUCAGGACUUUUACUUUGAAAAAAUUAGAGUGUUCAAAGCAGGCCUUUGCUCGAAUACGUUAGCAUGGAAUAAUAAAAUAAGGGCGUGCGUUUCUAUUUUGUUGGGUUCUAGAGACGCCGCAAUGAUUAACAGGAACAUGUCGGGGCAUCAGUAUUCCGUUGGCAGAGGGGAAAUC